RNAcentral lists this ribosomal RNA (497 nucleotides) under uncultured bacterium. Its description in RNAcentral is "partial 16S ribosomal RNA". It matches the Rfam family "Bacterial small subunit ribosomal RNA", at positions 28 to 507 of the family's 1533-position model. The record is from RNAcentral.
GAUGAACGCUGGCGGCGUGCCUAAUACAUGCAAGUCGAGCGAACGGACGAGAAGCUUGCUUCUCUGAUGUUAGCGGCGGACGGGUGAGUAACACGUGGAUAACCUACCUAUAAGACUGGGAUAACUUCGGGAAACCGGAGCUAAUACCGGAUGAUAUUUUGAACCGCAUGGUUCAAAAGUGAAAGACGGUCUUGCUGUCACUUAUAGAUGGAUCCGCGCUGCAUUAGCUAGUUGGUAAGGUAACGGCUUACCAAGGCAACGAUGCAUAGCCGACCUGAGAGGGUGAUCGGCCGCACUGGAACUGAGACACGGUCCAGACUCCUACGGGAGGCAGCAGUAGGGAAUCUUCCGCAAUGGUCGAAAGCCUGACGGAGCAACGCCGCGUGAGUGAUGAAGGUCUUCGGAUCGUAAAACUCUGUUAUUAGGGAAGAACAUAUGUGUAAGUAACUGUGCACAUCUUGACGGUACCUAAUCAGAAAGCCACGGCUAACUACGUG